AUGCCACUAAUCGAAAGUACGGCAGGGCAGAGACCCAGGGGCACUCCCCGCAAAAAAAAAAAGAGACCCAGGGGCACGCCCGAUCCAAAUUGCCCACGGAGAGAGAGAGAGAGUCGAGGAUCAAGCCGGACCCGAUCUGGCCCGGGCAUCUCCAUCGGUGGCGGGUGGCGGUGCAAGCCGCCAACGGCGUACUGCUCGGACGCGGAACGUGCAUGCAUGCGCUGCGGCAGUUGCAGGACGAGCCCUUGUGCCGUCGUCUACCCCCCAUGGCUUAGCAUUGGCAAUGGCCAAUGGAAGAGGGGCCGAUGCAGCGUCCAUGUGAGUAAGCGGCGGAAAGUUACCAUCUACCAUCAGGUGCGUGUGUACGUACGUCUACGUGCCGCCCCCACUGCCGUCGAUUUAUUUAUCCUCGCGCUCGCUGGCAGGAGGUUGUAUGUGUCCCUGUGA
Molecule: ribosomal RNA, 447 nt
Filed under: Triticum aestivum (bread wheat)
Lineage: Eukaryota; Viridiplantae; Streptophyta; Magnoliopsida; Poales; Poaceae
Description: partial small subunit ribosomal RNA
Source: RNAcentral